UUUACUGUGUGGCCCUAUGAGAGUCAUAAGUAGCUAAGGGACUCAGGAAAUGACGACAACAAAGUAAUCUCUUGUGUCCCAGUGCCAUGGGGCUGGCCGUGGUCAUUACUAGAAAGCUAUAGGUCCACACUGCUGUUGGACACGGAGACUACUUCAUGCACAGCUUGGUGAAGAGGAGAUGAGUCCCUUUCCAAUUAAAUAGGCGCUGAAACAUGAAGAGAAGGCCCGACAAUGAUAUGUGUUUGUAGCCAGUCUUAAAUGUCAAAAUGCCAAGUGACACGACACCUAUAUUUUUAAUUUUCUCUCCAGCAAGCGAUGUGUGAUUAUAGAAGUGGAGCUACAUCUAACUAAUAAAAUGUGGAUGUGGGCAAGAAUUUGUCCUAAAUCUA
Molecule: non-coding RNA, 389 nt
Organism: Microcebus murinus (gray mouse lemur)
Lineage: Eukaryota; Metazoa; Chordata; Mammalia; Primates; Cheirogaleidae
Source: RefSeq, a predicted model, not a curated record